Molecule: long non-coding RNA, 1936 nt
Organism: Oreochromis aureus
Lineage: Eukaryota; Metazoa; Chordata; Actinopteri; Cichliformes; Cichlidae
Source: Ensembl
GUUUAAAGAGUCAUCAGUUCAGAGACUGUGACAGUCGAGAUCGAGAACGAGAAAGAAGUGAGACAGAGAAGCACGAUGGAUGAAUUCAGAUGGAUUCAAAUGUUUUCAUGUCUGAUGCUGAUGAUUCGGAUUGCAGCCUUCUCAACAGUAUCUCUAAAUGAAACAUCCAUUUUUAUGAAAGUUGGAGAUGACGUCACUCUGCCUUGUCUAAAUCUGAUAGAUCAGCAGAAUAACUGUGAUGGUACUACGUGGACGUUUGCUUCAAGAAACAAACCAACAACAAUAGAGCUGAUCACACUUGGACAGAUUGGUGAACAUGCCAAAACUAAAUCAGACAGACUGAGUGUUACAGCGAACUGUUCUGUGCUUAUAAAGAAGCUCAAAGUUGAGGAUGUUGGUUUUUAUUCCUGUCAACAAUACAAAGUCAAAGAAACACCAUCUAAACACACUCGGGUUCGUCAGUCUUUCGUUGAUCUCUCUGUUAUUACCUUGACUGAACAUAAGAACAUUGAUAAGGGGAUACUAAACUGCUCUGUGCUGACACAUGGAGAGUGUCAUCACACAGUGAUGUGGCAAAUUAAAGGUAAAGAUGUGGACAAAGAGGACAACGAAAUAGUGACUUCACAGACUGUUUGCUCCACCACAGUGUCCAUUCCAGAGUCUCACUUUCUUUAUUCAUCAAGAUAUAACAUAUUGGCAUGUGAAGUGACUGACAGUAAAAUAGGAAAAGUGCAGCUGUUUACCUUCACUUCUCAGCCAUCAGGUGAAGAAACAGGUGAGUUUAUGAUCAACUGUUUAAGGUGAAUAAAAUCCCCUAAGACAUAUAUUUGACUGAUUUUAAGUUUCUUUUUACCACAAUGCUUUUUUCCUUAUAUUUAUAAAACAAAAACAUGUAGUUGUUUUUUUUUAAAAUGAUAUUAUACAUUUAUUCAGGUGACACAAAAUCAACAAAGACACCAUCCAGAAAAACUGAAAGCAACACAAAUUCAGAAACAAAUACAACAAUAAUGAAGGAUGAUUCACAAGAUUAAAAUGUGCCGGACUUGAUAAAUGAAGAACCUAAACAAGCACUACAUGAGGAGAAAAACUGAAAAAAUGUUUCAUGAGAUUUUUCUGUAUCUUUGAGGUCCAUUAUUAUCUCUGUGGGGUUAGCAGCAACUUUAAUAACUGCUGUGACAGUCAACAUAUGGACAAGGACUAAAGGGAACACGACCAAGAUGGAUAAAACAAUACAUUAUGAUCAAGAUGAAGACGAUGUUACAAUUCAUUAUGAAAACAUCGGGGUUUCUGCUGCUUCAGUCAGAUUCAACUGAUCAACUUCAACUCAGCAGAGGAAAUGGCUUUUAUAUUACCAGUAUCAUCUCAUCCAGUUUUAUAGAUUAAAUCGUAUAAAACAGAUAACGAUGUAAGUCGUUCCCAUUAAGUUCAUUCUGCUCAUCUGCGUGUUUUGUUUUCAGUGGGAGAAAUGUUUCGUCAUUCAUCCAAGUGACUUCUUUAGUCUUCUUCAAUCACUCGGAUAUUUGACGAAACACGUUCCCCCUGAAACCGCUAUGAUCUGAUUGAGCAUGCAUCAAGACCAUAUACAUAGUUGUUUUGUGUUUCAGUAUUCUGACUAUGGAUUUAUAUUUAGGUCUUGAACUUGUAUGAGUUUUAUCACAUCCUGUUCAUCCUGUUCAGACCUUCACUCACAUCUUUGGUUGAAUAGACUUAGAUAGAAGAAGAGGAGUUGAGGAUGUACAAACCGAGGAAUAGGUAGCCAAUAAACCACUUCCCAAUCAACUCUCUUCUAUGUAUAGAAGAGAGUUCUAGUUCCACUCUAAACGUAUCUACCCAUUUGACCUACUUGACCACAGUUUCUCUUUUACAUUCGUUAAUAAACCACAUAAAGACUGUUUCUGUGCAAGUGGAUCUUUUUUAUGCUCUCUUAAUAUAUUUG